GGGAUUGGGGCCCUGUGGGGCGCUAUAAGGGCCCUAGGGGGUGGAAUUGGGGCCCUAUGGGGUGCUAUAAGGGCCCUAGGGGGUGGUAUUGGGGCUCUGUUGGGGUCCUAUAGGGCCCUGUGGGGCUCUGUUAGGUCCCUCUAGGGCUCUAUUGGGGCUCUAUGGGUGAUAUUGGGGCCCUAUGGGGUGCCUCUAGGGCCCUAGGGGGUGGGAUUGGGGCCCAAUGGGGCACUAUAAGGGCCCUAGGGGGUGGUAUUGGGGCCCUAUGGGGUGCUAUAAGGGCCCUAGGGGUGGUAUUGGGGCUCUAUUAGGGUCCUAUAGGGCCCUGUGGGGCUCUAUUAGGUCCCUCUAGGGCUCUAUUGGGGCUCUAUGGGUGAUAUUGGGGCCCUAUGGGGCGCUAUAAGGGCCCUAGGGGGUGGGAUUGGGGCCCUAUGGGGCGCUAUAAGGACCCUAGGGGGUGGUACUGGGGCUCUAUUGGGGUCCUAUAGGGCCCUGUGGGGCUCUGUUAGGUCCAUAUAGGGCUCUAUUGAGGCUCUAUGGGUGAUAUUGGGGCCCUGUGGGGCGCUAUAAGGGCCCUAGGGGGUGGGAUUGGGGCCCUACGGGGCGCUAUAAGGGCCCUAGGGGGUGGUAUUGGGGCUCUAUUGGGGUCCUAUAGGGCCCUGUGGGGCUCCAUUAGGUUCCUCUAGGGCUCUAUUGGGGCUCUAUGGGUGACAUUGGGGCCCUAUGGGGUGCCAUAAGGGCCCUAGGGGGUGGGAUUGGGGCCCUGUGGGGGGCUAUAAGGGCCCUAGGGGGUGGGAUUGGGGCUCUGUUGGGGUCCUAUAGGGCCCUGUGGGGCUCUGUUAGGUCCCUAUAGGGCUCUACUGGGGCUCUAUGGGGCACUAUGGAG
RNAcentral lists this long non-coding RNA (886 nucleotides) under Anser cygnoides (Swan goose). RNAcentral describes it as "lncRNA (ENSACDG00005008547.1)". Lineage: Eukaryota; Metazoa; Chordata; Aves; Anseriformes; Anatidae. The record is from RNAcentral.